GUUAUGCACCAGAGCAAGUGCUGGUGCAUAACUGGGGCCGCCAAGCCUCUGUGGCCGGCCCUUUGAACCAGGAGCUGACACGU
This 83-nucleotide small nucleolar RNA is filed under the name Echinops telfairi (small Madagascar hedgehog). The record is from RNAcentral. Lineage: Eukaryota; Metazoa; Chordata; Mammalia; Afrosoricida; Tenrecidae.